Non-coding RNA from Paramisgurnus dabryanus, 433 nucleotides. Lineage: Eukaryota; Metazoa; Chordata; Actinopteri; Cypriniformes; Cobitidae. The record is from RefSeq and is a predicted model, not a curated record.
CUACUUUCCAUGUUUCCCUGUUAAAACCCGCUGGUGGUCCGAGACGGGAGCGAGAGGAGGCAGCCACGUCAUCAGGUUCACCUCCCCUGCUGGUCGGCGGCGAGGAAGCAUACCAGGGAACAUCAGGGUUAGAACUGAUGUCGUAAGACCUGAAAUACCCAAUGACACUGCAGAGAUGCAAUUAAUAAGACUUCAGAAGAAUCAUCUUUCAGAGUGAUUAUUAUAUAUUGUUGAGGUUGCAAUACUGACAGCACCAUUCUGUUAUUCUUCUCUUGAUCAUCUGUGAAAGGAGAUCUGAUAUCAGAAGAUGAACUCACAUCUGCCUGAAGACAUGAAUAAAAAAUGUGUAAAAAUAAUGUCAAAUAUAAGGGAAAGGAAAUAUUAUGUGUUAUGUUGUUUUCACCAGGUUAAUGUCUUAAGGCUUACAUUAGAA